GUCCUACGGGGGGCAGCAGUGGGGAAUUUUGGACAAUGGGGGAAACCCUGAUCCAGCCAUCCCGCGUGUGCGAUGAAGGCCUUCGGGUUGUAAAGCACUUUUGGCAGGAAAGAAACGUCAUGGGUUAAUACCCCGUGAAACUGACGGUACCUGCAGAAUAAGCACCGGCUAACUACGUGCCAGCAGCCGCGGUAAUACGUAGGGUGCAAGCGUUAAUCGGAAUUACUGGGCGUAAAGCGUGCGCAGGCGGUUCGGAAAGAAAGAUGUGAAAUCCCAGAGCUUAACUUUGGAACUGCAUUUUUAACUACCGGGCUAGAGUGUGUCAGAGGGAGGUGGAAUUCCGCGUGUAGCAGUGAAAUGCGUAGAUAUGCGGAGGAACACCGAUGGCGAAGGCAGCCUCCUGGGAUAACACUGACGCUCAUGCACGAAAGCGUGGGGAGCAAACAGGAUUAGAUACCCUGGUAGUCUAC
This 470-nucleotide ribosomal RNA is filed under the name uncultured Achromobacter sp. RNAcentral's name for it is "bacterial SSU rRNA". It matches the Rfam family "Bacterial small subunit ribosomal RNA", at positions 335 to 798 of the family's 1533-position model. Lineage: Bacteria; Pseudomonadati; Pseudomonadota; Betaproteobacteria; Burkholderiales; Alcaligenaceae. The record is from RNAcentral.